Molecule: ribosomal RNA, 553 nt
Filed under: uncultured bacterium
Lineage: Bacteria
Description: bacterial SSU rRNA
Rfam family: Bacterial small subunit ribosomal RNA
Source: RNAcentral
GCUGACGAGUGGCGGACGGGUGAGUAAUGUCUGGGAAACUGCCUGAUGGAGGGGGAUAACUACUGGAAACGGUAGCUAAUACCGCAUAACGUCGCAAGACCAAAGAGGGGGACCUUCGGGCCUCUUGCCAUCGGAUGUGCCCAGAUGGGAUUAGCUAGUAGGUGGGGUAACGGCUCACCUAGGCGACGAUCCCUAGCUGGUCUGAGAGGAUGACCAGCCACACUGGAACUGAGACACGGUCCAGACUCCUACGGGAGGCAGCAGUGGGGAAUAUUGCACAAUGGGCGCAAGCCUGAUGCAGCCAUGCCGCGUGUAUGAAGAAGGCCUUCGGGUUGUAAAGUACUUUCAGCGGGGAGGAAGGGAGUAAAGUUAAUACCUUUGCUCAUUGACGUUACCCGCAGAAGAAGCACCGGCUAACUCCGUGCCAGCAGCCGCGGUAAUACGGAGGGUGCAAGCGUUAAUCGGAAUUACUGGGCGUAAAGCGCACGCAGGCGGUUUGUUAAGUCAGAUGUGAAAUCCCCGGGCUCAACCUGGGAACUGCAUCUGAUACUGG